AUAUUGGCCAGAGACCGAUAGCGCACAAGUAGAGUGAUCGAAAGAUGUAAAGCACUUUGGAAAGAGAGUUAAACAGUACGUGAAAUUGUUGAAAGGGAAGCGCUUGCAAUCAGACUUGCGCGCUGUUGAUCAUCGGAGGUUCUCCCCCGUGCACUCGGCAGCGCUCAGGCCAGCAUCGGUUUGGGUGGUUAGAUAAAGGCCUUGGGAAUGUAGCUUCUUUCGGGGAGUGUUAUAGCCCUCGGUGCAAUGUACCCUACCCGGACCGAGGACCGCGCUUCGGCUAGGAUGCUGGCGUAAUGGUUGUAAGCGACCCGUCUUGAAACACGGACC
Molecule: ribosomal RNA, 330 nt
Filed under: uncultured fungus
Lineage: Eukaryota; Fungi
Description: LSU rRNA
Rfam family: Eukaryotic large subunit ribosomal RNA
Source: RNAcentral